Molecule: ribosomal RNA, 253 nt
Filed under: uncultured bacterium
Lineage: Bacteria
Description: partial 16S ribosomal RNA
Rfam family: Bacterial small subunit ribosomal RNA
Source: RNAcentral
UACGUAGGGUGCAAGCGUUGUCCGGAAUUAUUGGGCGUAAAGAGCUCGUAGGCGGUUUGUCGCGUCUGCUGUGAAAACUCGGGGCUUAACUCCGGGCCUGCAGUGGGUACGGGCAGACUAGAGUGCGGUAGGGGAGACUGGAAUUCCUGGUGUAGCGGUGAAAUGCGUAGAUAUCUGGAGGAACACCGGUGGCGAAGGCGGCAUCCUGGACCAACACUGACACUGAGGAGCGAAAGCCAGGGGAGCAAACGGG